Molecule: ribosomal RNA, 1468 nt
Filed under: uncultured Bordetella sp.
Lineage: Bacteria; Pseudomonadati; Pseudomonadota; Betaproteobacteria; Burkholderiales; Alcaligenaceae
Description: partial 16S-23S ribosomal RNA intergenic spacer
Rfam family: Bacterial small subunit ribosomal RNA
Source: RNAcentral
AGUUUGAUUGGCUCAGAUUGAACGCUGGCGGGGAUGUUUACACAUGCAAGUCGAACGGCAGCACGGACUUCGGUCUGCGGCGAGUGGCGAACGGGUGAGCAAUGUAUCGGAAUGUGCCUAGUAGCGGGGGAUAACUACGUCGAAAGCGUGAAGCACACCGCAUACGCCCUUCGGGGGAAAGCGGGGACCUUCGGGCCUCGCACUAUUAGGAGCGGCCGAUAUCGGAUUAGCUAGUUGGUGGGGUAACGGCUCACCAAGGCGACGAUCCGUAGCUGGUUUGAGAGGACGACCAGCCACACUGGGACUGAGACACGGCCCAGACUCCUACGGAGGCAGCAGGGAAUUUUGGACAAUGGGGAAACCCUGAUCCAGCCAUCCCGCGUGUGCGAUGAAGGCCUUCGGGUUGUAAAGCACUUUGGCAGGAAAGAAACGGCACGGGAUAAGACCCCGUGCGCAACUGACGGUACCUGCAGAAUAAGCACCGGCUACAACUACGUGCCAGCACGCGGUAAUACGUAGGGUGCAAGCGUUAAUCGGAAUUACUGGGCGAAGCGUGCGCAGGCGGUUCGGAAAGAAAGAUGUGAAAUCCCAGCUUAACUUUGGAACUGCAUUUUUAACUACCGAGCUAGAGGUCAGAGGGAGGUGGAAUUCCGCGCAGUGCAGUGAAAUGCGUAGAUAUGCGGAGGAACACCGAUGGCGAAGGCAGCCUCCUGGGAUAACAUUGACGCUCUGCGCACGAAAGCGUGGGGAGCAAACAGGAUUAGAUACCCUGUAGUCCACGCCCUAAACGAUGUCAACUAGCUGUUGGGCCUUUCGGGCUCUGGUAGCGCAGCUAACGCGUGAAGUUGACCGCCUGGGGGAGUACGGUCGCAAGAUUAAAACUCAAAGGAAUUGAUUUAAGACUGCACAAGCGGUGGAUGAUGUGGAUUAAUUGAUGCAACGCGAAAACCUUACCUACCCUUGACAUGUCUGGAAUCCCGAAGAGAUUUGGGAGUAUGCUCGCAAGAGAACCGGAACACAGGUGCUGGUGAUGGCUGUCGUCAGCUCGUGUCGUGAGAUGUUGGGUUAAAACCCGCAACGAGCGCAACCCUUGUCAUUAGUUGCUACGAAAGGGCACUCUAAUGAGACUUGAGACAAACUGGAGGAAGGUGGGGAUGACGUCAAGUCCUCAUGGCUCUUAGGUAGGGCUUCACACGUCAUACAAUGGUCGGGACAGAGGGUCGCCAACCCGCGAGGGGGAGCCAAUCCCAGAAACCCGAUCGUAGUCCGGAUCGCAGUCUGCAACUGACUGCGUGAAGUCGGAAUCGCUAGUAAUCGCGGAUCAGCAUGUCGCGGUGAAUACGUUCCCGCCCGCAUACACCGCCUGUCACACCAUGGAGUGGGUUUUACCAGAAGUAGUUAGCCUAACCGUAAGGAGGGCGAUUACCACGGUAGGAUUCAUGACUGGGGUGAAGUCGUAACAAGGUAG